GAAGAAAUGAGUUUUGGCAGCCCAGCCAAUGGGAUAUUAAAGAAAUUAAUCCAGAAGGGAUGUAAUGACCUGAAAAAAAUGAUGAGCAAAGACCAGAAGGAUCAGAUGCGAGAAGAAGGGAGCAGGCAGAAUGGACUUCAGUGCAACAGGGAAUUAAACUGAAAUCAUUAAAUUAUUUCUACUUAGCACUUUAGAGAACAUUUCUAUCCAGCCUGCCUAAGGUGACCAUAACAACAUCACCCCACAUGGAGAAGCCACUAGAACAUGUGUAGAUGCUUCAGUCCACAAUCCAAGCUAAACUCCCAGUCAAUAGCCACCAUCACGCCAGCCAUGUGAGUGAGUCAGACUGGUCAAGCCUUCAGAUGGGAGAAAGUCAAGCAUCCAACU
Globicephala melas (long-finned pilot whale) is the source of this 387-nucleotide long non-coding RNA. RefSeq lists it as uncharacterized. NCBI's taxonomy places the organism in Eukaryota, Metazoa, Chordata, Mammalia, Artiodactyla, Delphinidae. The record is from RefSeq and is a predicted model, not a curated record.